This is a long non-coding RNA of Ruditapes philippinarum (Manila clam), 218 nucleotides long. RefSeq lists it as uncharacterized. The transcript has 2 exons. The record is from RefSeq and is a predicted model, not a curated record. Lineage: Eukaryota; Metazoa; Mollusca; Bivalvia; Venerida; Veneridae.
CCUAUCGGUUGCAACGCAUAUUCAUUAACAAUUUGAGGAAAGACAAUGUUAGAUAUUGCGGCUUAACGUUAUUUGCCACGAAUAAACUAUGUUGACAUGGUUUUCAUUUAUGCUUAUUUUCUUUGCAUUUGCCGAGAUUACAACAGAAGUGAAUUUAUUUCCUUCUCAAGGAUUUAUACAAUGUGGAAACUGGACUUGUUUUAACAAAGCACAGUGUA